GAGGGUAUAGCUCAGUGGUAGAGUGUGUGCCUAACAUGCACGAGGUCCUGGGUUCAAUCCCCAGCACUGUCA
Transfer RNA from Camelus ferus (Wild Bactrian camel), 72 nucleotides. It matches the Rfam family "tRNA". Rfam says of the family: Transfer RNA (tRNA) molecules are approximately 80 nucleotides in length. Their secondary structure includes four short double-helical elements and three loops (D, anti-codon, and T loops). Further hydrogen bonds mediate the characteristic L-shaped molecular structure. tRNAs have two regions of fundamental functional importance: the anti-codon, which is responsible for specific mRNA codon recognition, and the 3' end, to which the tRNAs corresponding amino acid is attached (by aminoacyl-tRNA synthetases). tRNAs cope with the degeneracy of the genetic code in two manners: having more than one tRNA (with a specific anti-codon) for a particular amino acid; and 'wobble' base-pairing, i.e. permitting non-standard base-pairing at the 3rd anti-codon position. NCBI's taxonomy places the organism in Eukaryota, Metazoa, Chordata, Mammalia, Artiodactyla, Camelidae. The record is from Rfam.